CUGAGUGUUCACAGUCUCUUGGUGCCUUUGUGUGGAGCUCAUAUCACAGACCAUUGCCAUCCCCGGAGUUGCUGCACCCAGAGCCCCAGCCUGGGGCUGAUGGGAAGGACCCUAGUCACCUGGGGUGUUUCCCAGAUGUGAUAUUUUAAAGGCUGCUGAGUAUGAGCCCUCCGUGGCUGGGCCCUGGCCAGCCCUCAUCCUGUCCGCAGGCUCAGCACAGAGACGCUUGUUUUCGUGUGACGUCAGCUCCUCCGUAUCCAUGCCGCGUUUUAGUGUGUGCCUCAGCUGCCGGCUGUAGCUUCCCAGGGGAGCCGGGUACCACCCGGGCCUGGAGACAUGAGGAGGCAGAGAUGUGAGAGGCGGGGAGCAGGACAGUCAACCUUCUAUUAGAUGCCUGCUCUCCAGCAGUAACCCACCCUGCCUAUUGUCGAUCCGGAGACCCACCCAGCCCAUUGUCGGUCCGGAGGCCAGGGGACGCAGCAUCGGCUCCUUAAAGGGACGGAAGAUGCCUCCUUGCGCGCCCACCUUCGGUAGAGCAUAAAGAAUUCCGUGCUGAAGAGGCAGCAGAGAAAGCCGAGUCCAUCUACCGCCGUGGAGCCAGAAGAUGGAGGAAGCUAUACCGAGCCAACGGCCACCUCUUCCAAGCCAAGCGCUUUAACAGGAGAGCGUACUGUGGCCAGUGCAGCGAAAGGAUAUGGGGCCUCGCGAGGCAGGGGUACAGGUGCAUCAACUGCAAGCUGCUUGUCCAUAAACGCUGCCACGUCCUCGUCCCGCUGACCUGCAGGAGGCAUAUGGAUUCUGUCAUGCCUUCCCAAGAGCCUCCAGUAGAUGACAAGAACGAUGGUGUAGACCUUCCUUCAGAAGAAACUGAUGGAAUUGCUUAUAUUUCUUCAUCUCGGAAACAUGACAAUAUCAAAGAUGAUUCUGAGGACCUUAAGCCUGUCAUCGAUGGGGUGGAUGGGAUCAAAAUCUCUCAGGGGCUGGGGCUGCAAGACUUUGACCUCAUCAGAGUCAUCGGGCGUGGAAGCUAUGCCAAGGUCCUCCUGGUGCGGUUGAAGAAAA
This 1062-nucleotide long non-coding RNA is filed under the name Rattus norvegicus (Norway rat). RNAcentral describes it as "long non-coding RNA NONRATT023940". Lineage: Eukaryota; Metazoa; Chordata; Mammalia; Rodentia; Muridae. The record is from RNAcentral.